CCUACGGGAGGCAGCAGUGAGGAAUAUUGGUCAAUGGACGAGAGUCUGAACCAGCCAAGUAGCGUGAAGGAUGACUGCCCUAUGGGUUGUAAACUUCUUUUAUAUGGGAAUAAAACGUUCCACGUGUGUGAUUUUGUAUGUACCAUAUGAAUAAGGAUCGGCUAACUCCGUGCCAGCAGCCGCGGUAAUACGGAGGAUCCGAGCGUUAUCCGGAUUUAUUGGGUUUAAAGGGAGCGUAGGUGGAUUGUUAAGUCAGUUGUGAAAGUUUGCGGCUCAACCGUAAAAUUGCAGUUGAAACUGGCAGUCUUGAGUACAGUAGAGGUGGGCGGAAUUCGUGGUGUAGCGGUGAAAUGCUUAGAUAUCACGAAGAACUCCGAUUGCGAAGGCAGUUCACUGGACUGCAACUGACACUGAGGCUCGAAAGUGUGGGUAUCAAACAGGAUUAGAUACCCGUGUAGUC
RNAcentral lists this ribosomal RNA (460 nucleotides) under uncultured bacterium. RNAcentral's name for it is "partial 16S ribosomal RNA". It matches the Rfam family "Bacterial small subunit ribosomal RNA", at positions 338 to 795 of the family's 1533-position model. The record is from RNAcentral.